RNAcentral lists this long non-coding RNA (1692 nucleotides) under Canis lupus familiaris (dog). RNAcentral's name for it is "lncRNA (ENSCAFG00845011957.1)". Lineage: Eukaryota; Metazoa; Chordata; Mammalia; Carnivora; Canidae. The record is from RNAcentral.
CCCAUAAUGUCCUUUAGAGAAUUUUCCCCACCCACCCCACAGUAUUGGAAUAUUCUAAGGACAGGUAUCUUAUUUAGUUGCCAUGCAUCUUUAGCUUAUUUUAUUUUUUAAAGAUUUUAUUUAUUUGAGAGAGAAAGAGAGCACAAGCGGGGAGGGGGGGGGAGGGCAAAGGGAGAGGGAGAAGCAGACUCCACACUGAGCAGGGAGCCUGACUUGGGACUUGAUUCUGAGACCCUGAGAUCAUGCCCUGAGCCGAAAUCAAGAGUAUGACACUUAACUGACUGAGCUACCUAGGUGCCCAACUAUUAUCUUUUUUUAAUAAUGGUGCUUUCUCACGAUUAGAUUCAGGUUCUGCAUUUUAGGUGAUGUUAUUUUCUCAGAAUCACAUUUAAAGGCACCCAAAGGCCAUCUGUUCCUCACGGGUGGUGUUGAUUUUGGUCACCUGGUUAAUUUUGAUAACUUGAUUUCUGUACUAUGUAAUUACUGUUUUUUCUCUCCCUUGCCAUGAGUAAACAAUCUGGGGGAGAGAAACUUAAAGUUUUACAGGAAAAUGUAUUUGAUAUUAGUAGAAAGGAGGGGGAAUCAAUGAUAUAAAUUUCAGAGCAACUAUUAGGUUAUUUGAUUGUAUUCUUUCUCUUUUAUUAUAUCAGCUGAAAUUUACAAAAUUCUUUUUGUAAUAAGAAUAUUUUAAAUAGGGAUGUCUUAACAAAAAUGAAAAGGAAGCCUCAAGUUCUUUCUCUCCUGAUCUCCUUAGCAAAACUAAUACAUCAAUUAUAUCUGAUAAGAUAGUUUUGGAAAAAUAGGUCUGAGAUGUGAUGUUUCUGGUAUCACAGAUGGCCCAUAGUAAUCCAACAGGACGGAUAAUCUAGGUAGGUAGUCAUUGGCCAUAAAAGCAGAGUUCUCUUGGGUUUCCAUAGAGACAUUUCGACUUUCAGCACUGCUGCUUUUAAAAUGAGUGUCAGUAAAAAUAGAAAAAACUAAGGCUCUUUAGAAAAAAAAAAUCAUUAAAAUUUUUUUUUAAAGUAGUAAAGUUCCUGGUUAAAAAUCCACGUUGAAGCCAAAACUUGUGCUUCACAGUCAUUCUGCGUCAACUGGCCUUGAAUAGCCUUGGGCAGAAGAGGCAUCAAGAACUGGUUUCUCUGCCUUUUGGCAAAAGCAUGAGACUGCACUGACUUCAUCUAUGAAGACAACUGCCAACUAGUUUCUUACUCUGUAAAUUGUUAAUUGUGUGUGGUGAAGAAAAGGGUUAUGGGUGACGUUAUUUUUAUAUGGGUAAGACUGGCAUAAGUUCUGGUGAAAGUUUGACAUCUUUAGGUUCUUUUGUUUUUUCAAGUUGAGCUAAUAAAGAGAGGCUCAUGGGAUUAUUUCACACCUGAUUUUUAAGUGAAUAUUGAGCUAAAUGCCAUGUGUCCGUGACAAUUAAGGACUUUGUCGUGGGUUGAAGAAGCAUGAACUUGUGAUCACGCCUAGAACAGGAGUCCACAAAAUAUGGCCUGUGGGCCAAACCCAGCCUUCUGCCUCUUUUGGUACCACUAACAAGUUAAAAAUGGUUUUAUGUUUUGAAAUGGUUGGAAAAAAAAAUCAGAAGAAGACUUUAGUGACCUGUGAACAUCAUCUGAAAUUCGAAUUUCAGUGUCCACAAAUUGCUUUAUUGAAACGUAGCAUGCCCAUUUUCGUGUGGUCUGGAGCUGC